This 239-nucleotide unclassified non-coding RNA is filed under the name Hevea brasiliensis (rubber tree). The record is from RNAcentral. Lineage: Eukaryota; Viridiplantae; Streptophyta; Magnoliopsida; Malpighiales; Euphorbiaceae.
UUAGACCGGAUAUUGUAAUCAGCGCGUUUGCGAUCGUCGAUCAGAAUCUCGUAAGCUUCGGAAACUUCUUUGAAUUUGAGCGUAGCGUUUUCCUUCAAGUGAUGCGAGGAAUGUGCGUGCUUGUCGGGAUGAAAUUCCAUUGCCAAUUUCCGAAACGCUUGCUUGAUUUCUUCCUUGCUCGCACUUCGUGUUAACCCUAAAACUCUGUAAUGAUCCAUUGAUGGAUUUUUUGGUGUCUG